CCUCCACGUGGUGAGACCUGGGUCGGUAUUACUUGCAAUUAUUGGAAUUUAUAUCUAGAUUAUAUAAUGCAAGUACUACCGGGCGAAUGGCUGCAUAAUUUAGUGCGUUUCCCAAAUCUUUUCUUUCCAAUUCUAAUUAAACAUUAAAUUACUUAUGUUUUGCGAUGAUGAUCAUACAUGAAUGGAUAAAUAGAUAAGAUAUAGUAAAGUUCUGAAAUAAUUUCUUGAAGAAACGCAUUGAAAAAUUCCAAUAGUAUUUCUUUAUUGUAUUUGUAAUUCAUAUUUUUCCUAUACCUGUUGCUGAAGUCACAUGCGCUACGAGUAAAAGUUGGUGAACAGUUUUAAUCGAUAAGUUAUCCAUAGAGAGAGAAAGGGAAUAAAUCUAAAGAAGGAUGAUAAAAAAGUCAUUCGUUUGGUUCGAGGCGCCAUCGGUAGACAUCUUUAGAAUUAUUACGUAUUCGUAAGAACCAUUUUUUGUUAUGCAUUGUGUAUGUAUAUUAUAUUUCCUUGCUUGACUCUCGUCGUAAAUUUAUAAUUGCCAAUAUUCGAAAUGUUUUUCAUAUUAGCGAUCGAGCCGAGAGACGAGAAGGUAAACGAGAUCGUUCUCGAUAUGAACAAAUGAAACGAGUAUAAGACGCGUUACGUUAGUUAGAAAACCGGAAGAGAAACAAUGAACGAUUAGUAUGGAAAUCGUUUAGAGGCAAUAUAAAUGAGUAUGGACGGAUACAGUGUGCGAACAACCACUUGGCGUCGAGUACAAAGCCAAGUUCUUCGCUCGUUCUUAGACUUCCAUAACGACGUUUCUUCGACAAGGAUAAAAGUAUGUCAAUGUCCAUUUAUAAUCCUAAAAGAACAACUUGAUAUUCCCGCUUAAAAGUAGAUAGCUAUGAUAUCCGUAUAUUCGAGAUUACGGUGGUACGGGGUGAUUUGAACGCUCACAAUGCCAGGAAUCGAUGUCGUACCUGAUACACAUAUAAAUCUACAUACAUAUAUAUAUAUAAUAUAUGUGUGUGUAUGAUAUAUAUAUGUAUGUACGUACGCAACGUGCUCGAAAGUGCGACUUUGCAGGGUCACGUUACAGAAUACAUCUGCGACAAUCAGAAUGCAUGUUACGUUAGACAGUUCGAUAAGAAAAUGACGAUCCUCGCUGCUGUAAUUUACACAUCAUAAAUUUGAAUAUUUAGCGAUGUGAUUUUUUUAGUCGAUAAGUGAGUUCGUGAAUCUGUAUUAAACAGUAAGUGAAUAUUUAUGUUACAUAUCGAUCUAUUCAUUAAGAAAAUUUCUUACUAAUUAUAUUUAUAAAGUAUCAACUAUUUAUAUUUACGAUAUUAACAACAAGUUGACAUCUUCAUUGGAUUCCAAUUUAGUAAUCACUGAUAUUAAAAAGUAUCCAAACUUGCAUCAGGGUUGUUCGUGAUUAUUCUGAGAAUAUGAAUAAUUUUCAACGUGUGGAAAGUGACGAUGAAUAGGGUUGUUACCAGCAGCGGAUUUAAUUUUCGAGGUGUCCGAGGUGUUAUCAAUUUUUGGAUUCUCAUUAUAAUAAAUGUAUGUAUGUACAGUAUAUAUUUUUUCGAUUCAAUUGUUCAUGCAAAUGAUGAUGAGGAGUAUAUUUCAUUUAGUGAUGCAAUGAAGUGGAUACUCUUCAUUAUAGUCCCACAUUUGAUUACAGUCGCAAAUAUAGAAAUAAAAAUUAUAUAUCCGUCAUUGGAUAUUAAAUUAGACAUAUUAUAUGAUAUAAAUUCAUAUUGUUGUAUAGGAGCUUCUAUCUUAUGGGGCCAGAAACAAUUACUUUCACUACUUGUUUGUAAAUCCGCUACUGCUUGUUAUUAUGACUCAUUUUAAAAUCCUGUAAAUACAUAACAUUUUCUCUUUGUUA
Long non-coding RNA from Vespula vulgaris, 1876 nucleotides. RefSeq lists it as uncharacterized. The transcript is spliced from 2 exons. NCBI's taxonomy places the organism in Eukaryota, Metazoa, Arthropoda, Insecta, Hymenoptera, Vespidae. The record is from RefSeq and is a predicted model, not a curated record.